RNAcentral lists this ribosomal RNA (496 nucleotides) under uncultured bacterium. RNAcentral's name for it is "partial 16S ribosomal RNA". It matches the Rfam family "Bacterial small subunit ribosomal RNA", at positions 29 to 507 of the family's 1533-position model. The record is from RNAcentral.
AACGAACGCUGGCGGCGCGUCUUAAGCAUGCAAGUCGAACGGCAAGAGAGGAGCUUGCUUCUCUCCUAGAGUGGCGGACUGGUGAGGAACACGUGGGUAAUCUACCCUUAAGAUGGGGAUAGCUGCUAGAAAUAGCAGGUAAUACCGAAUACACUCGGCAUAUCACAAGAGGUGUUGAGGAAAGGAAGCUACGGCUUCGCUUGAGGAUGAGCUUGCGCCCCAUUAGCUAGUUGGUGAGGUAAAGGCCCACCAAGGCGACGAUGGGUAUCCGGCCUGAGAGGGUGAACGGACACAUUGGGACUGAGAUACGGCCCAAACUCCUACGGGAGGCAGCAGCUAAGAAUAUUCCGCAAUGGACGGAAGUCUGACGGAGCGACGCCGCGUGGAUGAAGAAGGCUGAAAAGUUGUAAAAUCCUUUUGUUGAUGAAGAAUAAGGGUGAGAGGGAAUGCUCAUCUGAUGACGGUAAUCGACGAAUAAGCCCCGGCUAAUUACGUG